UACGUAGGUGGCAAGCGUUGUCCGGAUUUAUUGGGUUUAAAGGGUGCGUAGGCGGCCUUGUAAGUCAGUGCUGAAAUAUCCCGGCUUAACCGGGAGGGUGGCAUUGAUACUGCAGGGCUUGAGUAAAGUUGAGGUUGGCGGAAUUGACGGUGUAGCGGUGAAAUGCUUAGAUAUCGUCAAGAACACCGAUAGUGAAGACAGCUAACUAAGCUUUAACUGACGCUGAGGCACGAAAGUGUGGGGAUCAAAUAGG
This 253-nucleotide ribosomal RNA is filed under the name uncultured bacterium. Its description in RNAcentral is "partial 16S ribosomal RNA". It matches the Rfam family "Bacterial small subunit ribosomal RNA", at positions 524 to 776 of the family's 1533-position model. The record is from RNAcentral.